UAGCUACAUGUGGCAAGUUUUCAUUGGUUCGAAUGGUCUAUACAUUGACCCUGAAACAGGAUACAUGUUAUUUGGCCAUUGGCCCAAUUUUACUGCAUGGAAUUCUAAUUGGUCAACCACAGGCUAGGGUUGGGGGUUAUAAAUUGUAUAAUGUCGCUUUGUUCUGUUGAGAAUCACUGAGGACAGGGAAGAAUGAACAUCUACUUCCCAGCAUAACAUCUAUGAUUUGUUCUCUUUGAAUAAACCUAUAUUUCUCCCCCUGAUUUGCUUUGGGGUCUGUGUUAUUGAAGAAUAACAUCAACUGCUAACACAUGGUGCCGUGACCCGGAUGAAUUGGUCGUGACCAACAACAAGGAACAACUCAUGAACUGUGUGUUGAUCCUGGGGAAAGAGAGAGGGCUGAAACCCACCACGGGAGUCAACUCUUAAUCUCCUGAUUGUUGACAUAUCAUAUUCCUGGAUUAUGAGAAUCUACCGUCUGAAGCUGAAGCAAUAUCCCUUAACCCAAGGACUGUACUUGAAACGAUACAAGAUCACUGGUGAAGUGUUCAUUGGAGACGUCCUCAUCAACCAGUGGAACGGAAGAAGAAUUCCUCACUACCGGCAGACCGUCAGAAUAUAAUUUCUAAUAGUUAUCUAUGUGGGACUGAUACCAGUGUGGAAGAGCUGGUCACUUUUAAAGGACUAUGUGAAUGAUUACCUUGACAAUAGGACAAUUGAAUAUUAUUGUCUUGCAGAUAAGGGAAAGAUGUUUGAAAUGAUUUUCCUUGUGAGUUUCCUUCUAAUACAGGAUGUGUGUGGUGUUUCCAAUUCGAACACAGAGAUGCAUCAGCAGGAUGAGGGACACUCGGGCGUCAGUACGUUUCUAGCUCUUUCUCUACACUAUGCCGCAGACAAACAUGGGGUACAUGUGCUGUUAUUGGUGCCGAAUGCUGUACUUACAUUCCUGAUCAUUCUGAGGAAAUAACUGACCUAAUCCAAAAGAUCAGGACUGAGGUCGCUAAAUAUCAUGAUUACAAUCCAGAUGAUUUAGGUUCAGUCAUGUGGUUGUCUUCCACAUUUGGAACAUGGGGAAGUUUUUUGGUGAGCAUGAUACUUCCAAUAGUGGGAGUUGUGUUUAUUUUUCUUAUCCUCAUCCAGGUUAUCAAGUGUGCUAUUGCCUGAUGUUUGUCUGCUAAAAUCCGACGGUUACGUGAUAGGGGAUAUCCUACGAUUCAUCAACCGUCUUUGUUAUUAAAGAAUAACCUCAACUGCUACCACU
Molecule: long non-coding RNA, 1261 nt
Organism: Salmo salar (Atlantic salmon)
Lineage: Eukaryota; Metazoa; Chordata; Actinopteri; Salmoniformes; Salmonidae
Source: RefSeq, a predicted model, not a curated record